AAAUUGAAGAGUUUGAUCAUGGCUCAGAUUGAACGCUGGCGGCAGGCCUAACACAUGCAAGUCGAACGGUAACAGGAAGAAGCUUGCUUCUUUGCUGACGAGUGGCGGACGGGUGAGUAAUGUCUGGGAAACUGCCUGAUGGAGGGGGAUAACUACUGGAAACGGUAGCUAAUACCGCAUAAUGUCGCAAGACCAAAGAGGGGGACCUUCGGGCCUCUUGCCAUCGGAUGUGCCCAGAUGGGAUUAGCUAGUAGGUGGGGUAACGGCUCACCUAGGCGACGAUCCCUAGCUGGUCUGAGAGGAUGACCAGCCACACUGGAACUGAGACACGGUCCAGACUCCUACGGGAGGCAGCAGUGGGGAAU
RNAcentral lists this ribosomal RNA (365 nucleotides) under Escherichia coli. RNAcentral's name for it is "bacterial SSU rRNA". It matches the Rfam family "Bacterial small subunit ribosomal RNA", at positions 1 to 362 of the family's 1533-position model. Lineage: Bacteria; Pseudomonadati; Pseudomonadota; Gammaproteobacteria; Enterobacterales; Enterobacteriaceae. The record is from RNAcentral.